Molecule: ribosomal RNA, 850 nt
Filed under: uncultured bacterium
Lineage: Bacteria
Description: bacterial SSU rRNA
Rfam family: Bacterial small subunit ribosomal RNA
Source: RNAcentral
CCUCUUGGUAUUUGAUUUGGUGCCUUGCAUCAUUGAUUUACAUUUGAGUGAGUGGCGAACUGGUGAGUAACACGUGGGAAACCUGCCCAGAAGCGGGGGAUAACACCUGGAAACAGAUGCUAAUACCGCAUAACAACUUGGACCGCAUGGUCCGAGUUUGAAAGGUGGCUUUGGCUAUCACUUUUGGAUGGUCCCGCGGCGUAUUAGCUAGAUGGUGGGGUAACGGCUCACCAUGGCAAUGAUACGUAGCCGACCUGAGAGGGUAAUCGGCCACAUUGGGACUGAGACACGGCCCAAACUCCUACGGGAGGCAGCAGUAGGGAAUCUUCCACAAUGGACGAAAGUCUGAUGGAGCAACGCCGCGUGAGUGAAGAAGGGUUUCGGCUCGUAAAACUCUGUUGUUAAAGAAGAACAUAUCUGAGAGUAACUGUUCAGGUAUUGACGGUAUUUAACCAGAAAGCCACGGCUAACUACGUGCCAGCAGCCGCGGUAAUACGUAGGUGGCAAGCGUCGUCCGGAUUUAUUGGGCGUAAAGCGAGCGCAGGCGGUUUUUUAAGUCUGAUGUGAAAGCCUUCGGCUCAACCGAAGAAGUGCAUCGGAAACUGGGAAACCUGAGUGCAGAAGAGGACAGUGGAACUCCAUGUGUAGCGGUGAAAUGCGUAGAUAUAUGGAAGAACACCAGUGGCGAAGGCGGCUGUCUGGUCUGUAACUGACGCUGAGGCUCGAAAGUAUGGGUAGCAAACAGGAUUAGAUACCCUGGUAGUCCAUACCGUAAACGAUGAAUGCUAAGUGUUGGAGGGUUUCCGCCCUUCAGUGCUGCAGCUAACGCAUUAAGCAUUCCGCCUGGGGA